This 780-nucleotide ribosomal RNA is filed under the name uncultured bacterium. Its description in RNAcentral is "bacterial SSU rRNA". It matches the Rfam family "Bacterial small subunit ribosomal RNA", at positions 39 to 807 of the family's 1533-position model. The record is from RNAcentral.
GCGACAGGCUUAACACAUGCAAGUCGAGGGGCAGCAUGAUUUGUAGCAAUACAGAUUGAUGGCGACCGGCGCACGGGUGAGUAACGCGUAUGCAACUUACCUAUCAGAGGGGGAUAGCCCGGCGAAAGUCGGAUUAAUACCCCAUAAAACAGGGGUCCCGCAUGGGAAUAUUUGUUAAAGAUUCAUCGCUGAUAGAUAGGCAUGCGUUCCAUUAGGCAGUUGGCGGGGUAACGGCCCACCAAACCGACGAUGGAUAGGGGUUCUGAGAGGAAGGUCCCCCACAUUGGUACUGAGACACGGACCAAACUCCUACGGGAGGCAGCAGUGAGGAAUAUUGGUCAAUGGCCGAGAGGCUGAACCAGCCAAGUCGCGUGAAGGAAGAAGGAUCUAUGGUUUGUAAACUUCUUUUAUAGGGGAAUAAAGUGGAGGACGUGUCCUUUUUUGUAUGUACCCUAUGAAUAAGCAUCGGCUAACUCCGUGCCAGCAGCCGCGGUAAUACGGAGGAUGCGAGCGUUAUCCGGGUUUAUUGGGUUUAAAGGGUGCGUAGGUGGUGAUUUAGGUCAGCGGUGAAAGUUUGUGGCUCAACCAUAAAAUUGCCGUUGAAACUGGGUUACUUGAGUGUGUUUGAGGUAGGCGGAAUGCGUGGUGUAGCGGUGAAAUGCAUAGAUAUCACGCAGAACUCCGAUUGCGAAGGCAGCUUACUAAACCAUAACUGACACUGAAGCACGAAAGCGUGGGGAUCAAACAGGCUUAGAUACCCUGGUAGUCCACGCAGUAAGC